CAAGACCACCCCCAAGAAAGAAAUGCAAAAAAGAAAAAUGGCUGUCUGAGGAGGCCUUACAAAUAGCUGUAAAAAGAAGAGAAGCAAAAAGCAAAGGAGAAAAGGAAAGAUAUACCCAUUUGAAUGCAGAGUUUCAAAGAAUAGCAAGGAGAGAUAAGAAAGCCUUCCUCAGGGAUCAGUGCAAAGAAUAGAGGAUAACAGUAGAAUGGGAAAGACUAUAGAUCUCUUCAAAAUAAUUAGAGAUACCAAGAGAAAUGUUUCAUGCAAAGAUGGGCACAAUAAAGGACAGAAAUGGUAUGGACCUAACAGAAGCAGAAGCUAUUAAGAAGAGGUGGCAAGAAUACACAGAAGAACUAUACCAAAAAAAUCUUCAUGACCCAGAUGAUCAUGAUGGUGUCAUCACUCAGCUAGAGGCAGACAUCCUGGAAUGCGAAGUCAAGUGGACCUUAAGAAGCAUCACCAUAAACAAAGCUAGUGGAGGAUAUGGAAUUCUAGUUGAGCUAUUUCAAAUCCUAAAAGAUGAUGCUGUGAAAGUGCUGCACUCAACAUGCCAGCAAAUUUGGAAAACUCAGCAGUGGCCACAGCACUGGAAAAGGUCCGUUUUCAUUCCAAUCCCAAAGAAAGCCAAUGCCAAAAAAUGCUUAAACUACUGUACAAUUGCACUCGUCUCACACAAUAGUAAAGUAACGCUCACAAUUCUCCAAGCCAGUCCUCAACAGUACAUGACCAUGAACUUCCAGAUGUUCAAGUUGAUUUUAGAAAAGACAGAGAAACCAGAGAUCAAGUUGUCAACAUCUGUUGGAUCAUCAAAAAAGCAAGAGAGUUCCGGAAAAACAUCUAUUUCUGCUUUACUGACUAUGCCAAAGCCUUUGACUGUGUGGACCAUAACAAACUGUGGAAAAUUCUUAAGAGUUGGGAAUACCAGACCACCUGACCUGCUUUUUGAGAAAUCUGUAUUCAGGUCAGGAAGCAACAGUUAGAACUGGACAUGGAACAACGGACUGCUUCCAAAUAGGAAAAGGAGUGCAUCAAGUAUAGGAAAAG
This 1044-nucleotide long non-coding RNA is filed under the name Bos indicus x Bos taurus (hybrid cattle). RNAcentral's name for it is "lncRNA (ENSBIXG00000029159.1)". The record is from RNAcentral. Lineage: Eukaryota; Metazoa; Chordata; Mammalia; Artiodactyla; Bovidae.